Molecule: ribosomal RNA, 478 nt
Filed under: uncultured bacterium
Lineage: Bacteria
Description: partial 16S ribosomal RNA
Rfam family: Bacterial small subunit ribosomal RNA
Source: RNAcentral
GACGAACGCUGGCGGCGUGCUUAACACAUGCAAGUCGAACGGUAAGGCCCUUCGGGGUACACGAGUGGCGAACGGGUGAGUAACACGUGGGUGAUCUGCCCUGCACUUCGGGAUAAGCCUGGGAAACUGGGUCUAAUACCGGAUAGGACCCUGGGAUGCAUGUCCUGGGGUGGAAAGCUUUUGCGGUGUGGGAUGGGCCCGCGGCCUAUCAGCUUGUUGGUGGGGUGAUGGCCUACCAAGGCGACGACGGGUAGCCGGCCUGAGAGGGUGACGUGCCACACUGGGAAUGAGAUACGGCCCAGACUCCUACGGGAGGCAGCAGUGGGGAAUAUUGCACAAGGGGCGCAAGCCUGAUGCAGCGACGCCGCGUGAGGGAUGACGGCCUUCGGGUUGUAAACCUCUUUCAGCACCGACGAAGCGCAAGUGACGGUAGGUGCAGAAGAAGGACCGGCCAACUACGUGCCAGCCGCCGCAGUAA